UUUCAUCUUCAAAUGAUUAUCUUUCAAAUCGCCCAUUUAUUUUACAUCGCCACCCAUCUGAUCCUUUGAAUUGAUGUUGAGAUUUUCAUACCAAAUUUGAAGACUUUCGACUUCAUCCAAAUGAAUUUUCUCUUGUUUCGAAUGCUCAAUGUCCAUUGAAUUCAUGUUGGAACUCUCAAGCUUUUCCAACUGCAUUUUAACAUACUCGUAAUUUUCUUCUAACUCCUUAGUCUUUUUCACCAAUCACGGAAGAAUAAACAAAGAUCUUUCGUCAACUCUUUCCUUGUCUCUCCGUAAAAAAAUUUGCAAUUCAUGGCUUCAUAGUGAGGACAAGACCAAAAUCUUUUUCUCGGAUUGCGAUCUGACCAAGAGGUCUGCAUUUGUAAUAUGAUUUCAUGCUUGCAUCGCACUUCAACAUUGAUCAUCGAACCAUUCUCUUCCAUACACAACUUAUUCAAC
This 459-nucleotide long non-coding RNA is filed under the name Solanum tuberosum (potato). RNAcentral's name for it is "long non-coding RNA (STUB_LNC001305)". Lineage: Eukaryota; Viridiplantae; Streptophyta; Magnoliopsida; Solanales; Solanaceae. The record is from RNAcentral.